RNAcentral lists this ribosomal RNA (793 nucleotides) under Bacillus cereus. RNAcentral describes it as "bacterial SSU rRNA". It matches the Rfam family "Bacterial small subunit ribosomal RNA", at positions 63 to 825 of the family's 1533-position model. The record is from RNAcentral. Lineage: Bacteria; Bacillati; Bacillota; Bacilli; Caryophanales; Bacillaceae.
GAUCCUGGCUCAGACUCAAGUCGUAACAAGGUAACCGUAGAGUUUGAUCCUGGCUCAGACUCAAAGCGUAACCUGGCCAUCGUACUGGUAUAACUCCGGGAAACCGGGGCUAAUACCGGAUAACAUUUUGAACCGCAUGGUUCGAAAUUGAAAGGCGGCUUCGGCUGUCACUUAUGGAUGGACCCGCGUCGCAUUAGCUAGUUGGUGAGGUAACGGCUCACCAAGGCGACGAUGCGUAACCGACCUGAGAGGGUGAUCGGCCACACUGGGACUGAGACACGGCCCAGACUCCUACGGGAGGCAGCAGUAGGGAAUCUUCCGCAAUGGACGAAAGUCUGACGGAGCAACGCCGCGUGAGUGAUGAAGGCUUUCGGGUCGUAAAACUCUGUUGUUAGGGAAGAACAAGUGCUAGUUGAAUAAGCUGGCACCUUGACGGUACCUAACCAGAAAGCCACGGCUAACUACGUGCCAGCAGCCGCGGUAAUACGUAUGUGGCAAGCGGUAUCCGGAAUUAUUGGGCGUAAAGCGCGCGCAGGUGGUUUCUUAAGUCUGAUGUGAAAGCCCACGGCUCAACCGUGGAGGGGCAUUGGAAACUGGGAGACUUGAGUGCAGAAUAGGAAAGUGGAAUUCCAUGUGUAGCGGUGAAAUGCGUAGAGAUAUGGAGGAACACCAGUGGCGAACUGCGACUUUCUGGUCUGUAACUGACACUGAGGCGCGAAAGCGUGUGGAGCACACAGGGAUUACAUACCCUGAUAGUUCCAUCGCACGUAAAACGAUGAGAUGCUAAGAUGAU